Molecule: long non-coding RNA, 2472 nt
Organism: Clupea harengus (Atlantic herring)
Lineage: Eukaryota; Metazoa; Chordata; Actinopteri; Clupeiformes; Clupeidae
Source: Ensembl
CCCCCUCUCUCUCAUAUAUGUAUGUAUAUACACGUCCUCAAACCAGACAUUUGGGUUUUAACCAAAGCAAAUAAAUCCUAUCUCAUUGUUACUAUGUUAUUUUAUUCAUGCAGUCACAAAUUCAGACCACUUCCCAUUCCCAUUUGUCAGUGCGAGGGAUUUCAUCCAAUCACGUUUCAUUCUCCGUGCCGCUCCAGUCUGUGCUCCGCCAGGUGCAUCAUGGGGAUUGGCUAAUCAAAUUUACAUUUCUACGAGGAGGGCUUAAUCUACUGGAAACAUCAGUGACUCUCUGGGUUAGUUUGAUAGCCUAUAACGUGACGGUUAAUGACAGCAAACCUAAGAAGGGGAAGUAUAGGCUUAUUUACCCCACUGGGGCAGUUAAGAAGGGUAAGUAUAGGCUUAUUCACUUCACAGAAGUAGUUCCGUUCACGCAAACCACAUUCUGCUUGGAUAAAUGAUGACAAAUAAACAAUAUGCAGAAUUCAUCUUUUCUCGUAGUGCAAUUGCUUUGAUACUAAUUGAGUGUGAUUGUAGCCUAGGCUAUAACUUGCAGCAUAGGUUAUGCAAGAAACAUGGGUUCACAACGAUCUAGCUAGCAACCGUAAACAGUGCCUGCGUGUUUUCCUUUUCGUCUUGAAAAGUGUGUGUUUAUAAGACACACUUAAGUUUCAUUCUUCAGUCUUUAGUCUAGUUCCUUAGUUUCAGGUGUUCAAGCAGGACAUUUCAUAUGUCAACCUAUGGGGUACAUUAGGCAUUACUUGCGUUUCUAACAUGCUACUGAAAACAUGCGGCAGUAAGUUUCAAAUUCGUUCAGUAAAAUGAAUUCUUUCUGGACACCAGGCUAGUAAGAAAAAAAUCCUUGCGGGAACCCAGACACACACACAUCCAGUCAAGCAUAUUCUCACCCCCUCUCUCUCCCACACGGGCGCGCACACACACACACACACCGAAAUACCACAAACAUGCCAACCACUAGUAGGUUCACCCACAGUAAACAUGCCUAACAUACUCAGAGGCACAGAAGUCCCUGUGGACUGGAACCCAACAGGAACAUUUUAUAAUGGCCCAUUACGGACAGAACACCAUUUGAGACCGAUGUCAGUGGAAUUCAGUCUCACUCAGUUUCACUCAGUUUCAUGUUGGCAUAGGUUACAGUAGCUAACUGAUGAAAUUCAGUCUCACUCAGUUUCAUGUUGGCAUGGUUACAGUAGCUAAUUGAGAAGUCAGCCCAUGGUGGGUGACUGGGAGCCAAGACAUUUCAUUCCUGAAUUUUGCAAUCUUGCAAAUAAAAUUCAAGGACUCAAAGAACUUUCACGUAUUACCACAAUAUUGCCACGUCAUGGGAUUUUUUGCAUUAUUUAUGAUAGAAAAAAAAAAAACUUUUCAAAAUCACUGCAUUUUAAACUGCACUGUUUGAGAAUUACCACAUCAAAUUCAGUUUUUGUCACAACAAAUUACAAGAGAUCCUUGCAAGGUCCUGGUUGGACAGAUCAGCUAUCUUACACACAAGAUAAGGGCAGGAAAGUCCAGAGCCCAAGUUUGGAGCCAGACUUGUAUCUGUCCAAUGCGUUCUAUCUGCAUUCUUCCACAGAGAUAUCUAUAAGUUGAAGUUCCGUGUCAAUGGUACGACACAACGCAAUAAAUCCCAAUACUGCAGUUUGCAGAGGACUGUGUGGGUUUCGUUUGCAUUUACCAAUCCAUCAACCAUCUGAGGCGUCCACCUGGUAAAGAAUUCCCGGUAAUGUAUCAGUACCUCCUGACCACAUCGCAAUCUCUAUGUCUCGACAAGUAGCAGCUGCAACUGUAGUAUUCAACUCCGCCUUCGAGUUUUGCCAGUAUCUGGGCCUUCUCACCUGAUUGGUUGAUCCAUGUUCCUGAGGCAUGAUGGGUAGUUCUCAGUUGGCCGUGGGAGGUCCUGCUGAGAUGGAGGGUGCUGAUGGUCUGAAGAUGACUGACCCGUCACGCUCAGCAAGGUCACGCUCAGCAAGGUCACGCUCAGCAAGGUCACGCUCAGCAAGGCACCAUGGGCGGCACUUCAGCACCGCCGGGAGAAGGGAGCCUGGAACGGUUAACAUGAGCAUUUCAGUGUGGUCAGGGAGACAUAUGAUAUAAUAACUGAGCAAAAAUGUGAAUUAAUAUAAAGGCAAGAUGUGAUUUCCUUUUAUUAUUAGUUCGAAAGAUAAAACUUUUUAGUAUAAUUGCACUUUGCCCUUAUAUCACAUCACUGCAAAAGUCAACUACUGGUAUCUGUUCACUUCAUUGACAACGUCCUACAAGCAAUUCUGACCUACUGAGAGACUACGCGGAAAAAAUUAUCAACUCUUUCAGAUCCACUUCAUUCAUACAUACAUACAUACAGUCAACACGUCAUCAUAUUUGACAAGGCAUGUUUUGACAUAGUACACCUUAUCACAAUGAAUUAUUGUUUUUUUAAAAUCACAAUAUAAUGUUAUAGUUGCAAUUGGAAGCCUU